RNAcentral lists this ribosomal RNA (252 nucleotides) under uncultured bacterium. Its description in RNAcentral is "partial 16S ribosomal RNA". It matches the Rfam family "Bacterial small subunit ribosomal RNA", at positions 526 to 779 of the family's 1533-position model. The record is from RNAcentral.
CGUAGGUGGCAAGCGUUGUCCGGAUUUAUUGGGCGUAAAGGGAACGCAGGCGGUUUUUAAGUCUGAUGUGAAAGCCUUCGGCUUAACCGGAGAUGUGCAUUGGAAACUGGAAGACUUGAGUGCAGAAGAGGAGAGUGGAACUCCAUGUGUAGCGGUGAAAUGCGUAGAUAUAUGGAAGAACACCAGUGGCGAAAGCGGCUCUCUGGUCUGUAACUGACGCUGAGGUUCGAAAGCAUGGUAGCGAACAGGAUU